This 490-nucleotide ribosomal RNA is filed under the name uncultured bacterium. RNAcentral's name for it is "partial 16S ribosomal RNA". It matches the Rfam family "Bacterial small subunit ribosomal RNA", at positions 30 to 507 of the family's 1533-position model. The record is from RNAcentral.
AUUGAACGCUGGCGGCAGGCCUAACACAUGCAAGUCGAACGGUAACAGGAAGAAGCUUGCUUCUUUGCUGACGAGUGGCGGACGGGUGAGUAAUGUCUGGGAAACUGCCUGAUGGAGGGGGAUAACUACUGGAAACGGUAGCUAAUACCGCAUAACGUCGCAAGACCAAAGAGGGGGACCUUCGGGCCUCUUGCCAUCGGAUGUGCCCAGAUGGGAUUAGCUAGUAGGUGGGGUAACGGCUCACCUAGGCGACGAUCCCUAGCUGGUCUGAGAGGAUGAUCAGCCACACUGGAACUGAGACACGGUCCAGACUCCUACGGGAGGCAGCAGUGGGGAAUAUUGCACAAUGGGCGCAAGCCUGAUGCAGCCAUGCCGCGUGUAUGAAGAAGGCCUUCGGGUUGUAAAGUACUUUCAGCGGGGAGGAAGGGAGUAAAGUUAAUACCUUUGCUCAUUGACGUUACCCGCAGAAGAAGCACCGGCUAACUCCGUG